GAUGAAGAACGUAGCGAAAUGCGAUACUUGGUGUGAAUUGCAGAAUCCCGUGAACCAUCGAGUCUUUGAACGCAAGUUGCGCCCGAAGCCAUUAGGCCGAGGGCACGCCUGCCUGGGUGUCACACACCGUUACCCUCGCGCCAACGUCCAUCGUUGGCCGCGGCGCGGGGCGUGCGCUGACCUCCCGCGAGCGGGGUCUCGUGGUUGGUUGAAAAUCGAGUUCGCGGUCGAGGGUGCCGUGAUGAAAUGGUGGAUGGGCGACGCCCGAGGCCAAUCACGCGCGACUCUGUCCGGCUNNNACUCCUGGACCCCUUCGGCGUCUCCGGACGCUCUUUGGCGAGACCUCAGGUCAGGCGGGGCUACCCGCUGAGUUUAAGCAUAUCAAUAAGCGGAGGA
Molecule: unclassified non-coding RNA, 396 nt
Filed under: soil metagenome
Description: partial contains 5.8S ribosomal RNA, internal transcribed spacer 2, and large subunit ribosomal RNA
Rfam family: 5.8S ribosomal RNA (bases 1-122)
Source: RNAcentral